This 1002-nucleotide long non-coding RNA is filed under the name Oryctolagus cuniculus (rabbit). RNAcentral describes it as "lncRNA (ENSOCUG00000037162.1)". The record is from RNAcentral. Lineage: Eukaryota; Metazoa; Chordata; Mammalia; Lagomorpha; Leporidae.
AUGCCAGCUGGGGAGGAGGAGGGAGUGCUCAGUGUCAGGGUCCCAGCUGGGGAGGAGGAGGGAGUGCUCAGAGUCAGGGUCCCAGCCAGGGAGGGAGCACUCAGGGUCCCAGCUAGGGAGGGAGCACUCAGGGUUCCAGCUGGGGAGAGGGAGGGAGCACUCAGUGUCUCAGCCGGGGAGGGAGCACUCUGGGCUGUGCUUGGGUUUGCAGUGUUUCCUGAGGGAGGAGUGGAGGGGAGCGGUGUGGUCAGGCUCGUCUCUCUGUGGCUGCCAACAGACCAAGCGUUUCGCUGGGAGGACGCUGACGGAACAUUCAGACCGAAGGGGAAGCGAAUGAGAGUCAGGGGUCAGAGCCGACGAGUGGGGGAGGUAGGGGCAGGGAGCCACCAGGAGGGCCCCAGAUUCCAGCGUGGCAACCCCCCUCCGGACACUCAGGGACAGGACGGCUGUCGGGGGCGCCUGGUUUCCUGCCCCUGCGCACGUCGGGCAGAGCUGCUCGGCAAACAGAGGGGUCACGGGGUCAUGAGGCAGCAGGGCAGCCUGGGAAGUCCAGCAGAGCCACAGGCCCACAGAACCGGCGCCCAAAGAAGCCCACGGCAGCCUGGGCGGAGGCAAGACUCCGGAGAUCUCUGGAGGAGAAGCAGGAAGCCAGUGGUGAGAACCGUGGCGGCCAAGGCCGGGGAGAGGGGCACGUGGUGGGGCGAGAGGGCUCUGUGGCAGGGAGGCUGAGGAGCCAGCCGCUUUAAAGAUUUAUGUAUUCACGUAUGGGAAAGGCAGAGAGGCAGGGCUGGGGGAGGUCGUCCCUGGGCUGGUUCAGUCCCCAUGGGGACCACAUGGGGCCGGGCCAGGUUGAAGGUAGGACCCUGGCGCUCCAUCCUGGCCUCCGUGUGGGCGGCAGGGCCCGGGCAGGCAGGCAUCCGUCCUCUGCUGCUGCCCGGGAGCACCAGCAGGGAGCUGGCCCGGCAGGGCUCCUGACAGCGCUGUGGCAGCCACACCUGCUCC